CUUAUUUUUUAAAAAAACAAAAUCUUACAACUUGAGGAAUCAUAUCUGAAAGCAUGUGUAUUAGACAUCCAGACCCCCUAAUUAUAAUGGGUUCAACAGAGGCACGAUGGGGAGGGACAAAACAACGAAAUGAUUGGACUGGUUGGUGAGGCACUAAUUCACUUGCAAAACUCCAAGACACAAGAUGUAGACAUGAAGUUGUUGUUGUCUGGACUUCGGGCUCUGGAUCUCACGGUGGCCGGUGAAGAGAAAGUUGUCGAUGAUGGAAAAAAAGAGAGAAGGCUGUUGGUGAAGAGGAAGCUGUAGAUCUCAUAAUGGCUGGUUAAUUGUUGAAUGGCUGAGAGAAAGAGACUAAAGAGAGGCUGGGGACUUGCAUGUGAUGGGUGGCUAAUGCUGACGUGGAGGUACAAAUCUGGUGUAGUAUUAUAUUUUAGUUGAAAUUAUAAAAACAGUUUUAAAAUUGUGAAUUUACUUGAUUUUAGUCUGAUUUUAUUAA
This is a long non-coding RNA of Populus nigra (black poplar), 496 nucleotides long. RefSeq lists it as uncharacterized. The transcript is spliced from 2 exons. The record is from RefSeq and is a predicted model, not a curated record. Lineage: Eukaryota; Viridiplantae; Streptophyta; Magnoliopsida; Malpighiales; Salicaceae.